GCGGUUAUGGAGUUGAUGGCUCGUGUUUUUUUCCUCUUUUGCUUUAUUUGUUUUGUUUUGUUUCUACUUACAACAAAAAACUUAUUUAUUUUAUUUCUAAUUACUUAUGUAUUUUACUUUAAUUAUUUUAUUUUUAUUUAUUCUACUACUGCUAUUUUUAUUUAUUUUACUGCUGCUAUUUUUACUUAAUUUAUUAAGGUUUAUUUAUUNNNNNNNNNNCCUCUGUUUUUUUUUCUCUUUUGCUUUAUUUGUUUUGUUUUGUUUCUACUUACAACAAAAAACUUAUUUAUUUUAUUUCUAAUUACUUAUGUAUUUUACUUUAAUUAUUUUAUUUUUAUUUAUUUUACUGCUGCUAUUUUUACUUAAUUUAUUAAGGUUUAUUUAUUGUAGUU
Molecule: long non-coding RNA, 392 nt
Filed under: Triticum aestivum (bread wheat)
Lineage: Eukaryota; Viridiplantae; Streptophyta; Magnoliopsida; Poales; Poaceae
Description: long non-coding RNA (TAES_LNC015033)
Source: RNAcentral